UUCGGUACCGGCAGGGGCGGACUGACCAUCUGUAGAAUCACCGAACGGCCGGGUCGGUUUGCUGUUUUUAAACGGCAUCAUUGAAGUUAAGCUGACAGGCGACAGAGGUCCACCGUUUCCCAGUCCGCCCCUGCCGGCCAUCAUCUACUCUAGGGAGUUCUCCCCUGACAGCUGGACACUACAUGAUAGCAGAGGACCAGACCAUCGUCAGUGACAGUGUCCUGAAUGUUGUUGACGCCCUGAUGCUGAUGUUUGCAGCAUAUUACUGCCUCAACAUCAGUUAUCGCUCAGAACUGGGAGCUACCCUGGAGUUCUUGCAGAGUGGUGUGCUUUGGCUCCUCCCUAAAAGCCCAAACUCACUCUUAGCCAAUCGGUGGUAUGUUUACUUCAGCUCAAUGAAAAUGACGGAAAGAGGGCCCUUUGUCGACAACAAAAGAAAACCUGGUGCCUAUUCAAGAUCAAUCCGGACAAUGGGACUAGAGUGGAGAGGAAGGAAUACAAACAAAAACAGCACUCGAUAAAGAUAAAGAUUUCAUGAAGUUUGCUGACGACACGACCGUCAUCGGCC
This is a long non-coding RNA of Trematomus bernacchii (emerald rockcod), 568 nucleotides long. RefSeq lists it as uncharacterized. The transcript is spliced from 5 exons. Lineage: Eukaryota; Metazoa; Chordata; Actinopteri; Perciformes; Nototheniidae. The record is from RefSeq and is a predicted model, not a curated record.